CACCGCGGUUAUACGAGAGGCCCAAGUUGACAGACACCGGCGUAAAGCGUGGUUAAGGUACACGAAAACUAAAGCCGAACACCUUCAGGGCAGUUAUACGCAUCCGAAGGCACGAAGCCCCACCACGAAAGUGGCUUUAUGAACCCUGACCCCACGAAAGCUAUGACA
Molecule: ribosomal RNA, 168 nt
Filed under: Thunnus albacares (yellowfin tuna)
Lineage: Eukaryota; Metazoa; Chordata; Actinopteri; Scombriformes; Scombridae
Also listed under: 1 other name
Description: partial small subunit ribosomal RNA
Source: RNAcentral